AUUGAACGCUGGCGGCAGGCCUAACACAUGCAAGUCGAGCGGUUGAGGUAGCUUGCUACCGAUGCAGCGGCGGACGGGUGAGUAAUACAUGGGAAUCUACCUGGUAGUGGGGGACAACGUUUCGAAAGGAACGCUAAUACCGCAUACGCCCUACGGGGGAAAGGGGGGGAUCUUCGGACCUCUCGCUAUCAGAUGAGCCC
This 200-nucleotide ribosomal RNA is filed under the name uncultured bacterium. RNAcentral describes it as "partial 16S ribosomal RNA". It matches the Rfam family "Bacterial small subunit ribosomal RNA", at positions 30 to 232 of the family's 1533-position model. The record is from RNAcentral.